UGCCAGCAGCCGCGGUAAUACGAAGGGUGCAAGCGUUACUCGGAAUUACUGGGCGUAAAGCGUGCGUAGGUGGUUUGUUAAGUCUGAUGUGAAAGCCCUGGGCUCAACCUGGGAAUGGCAUUGGAAACUGGCAGUCUAGAGUGCGGUAGAGGGUAGCGGAAUUCCCGGUGUAGCAGUGAAAUGCGUAGAUAUCGGGAGGAACAUCCGUGGCGAAGGCGGCUACCUGGACCAGCACUGACACUGAGGCACGAAAGCGUGGGGAGCAAACAGGAUUAGAUA
RNAcentral lists this ribosomal RNA (279 nucleotides) under uncultured bacterium. RNAcentral's name for it is "partial 16S ribosomal RNA". It matches the Rfam family "Bacterial small subunit ribosomal RNA", at positions 506 to 784 of the family's 1533-position model. The record is from RNAcentral.